This 32-nucleotide non-coding RNA is filed under the name Mus musculus (house mouse). The record is from RNAcentral. Lineage: Eukaryota; Metazoa; Chordata; Mammalia; Rodentia; Muridae.
UCUAUCUUGUUUGAUUACAUGUGCAUCAAAUA